This is a small nuclear RNA of Ochotona curzoniae (black-lipped pika), 103 nucleotides long. NCBI's taxonomy places the organism in Eukaryota, Metazoa, Chordata, Mammalia, Lagomorpha, Ochotonidae. The record is from RefSeq and is a predicted model, not a curated record.
CUGGUAUUGUUCCAAUUUUAGUGUAUGUGCUGCCAAAGUGAGAGGAUUAGCGUGGUCCCUGCACAAGGAUGAGCUGCAAAUCUGUGAAACAUUCCAUAUUUUU